AGUGCGUACUAGGUUCUUCGGCUUUUCGUCGGUUUUCUUGUUGUGGCCUUUAUUGGUGGCGGCAAGUGGCUGACAAUUUUACUUUGAACAAAUCAGAGUGCUCAAAACAGGCGUUUCGCUUGUAUGUUUUUGCAUGGAAUAAUAGAAUAUGACUUCGGUCUAGUUUUAUUGGUUUUAUUGAUCGUUGUAAUGAUUAAAAGAGACAAACGGGGGCAUUCGUAUUGUUGCGUGAGAGGUGAAAUUCUUGGACCGCAGCAAGACGACCUACAGCGAAAGCAUUUGCCAAGCUUGUCUUCAUUAAUCAAGAACGAAAGUCAGAGGAUCGAAGGUGAUCAGAUACCGCCCUAGUUCUGACCGUAAACGAUGCCAACUAGCGAUUCGCCAGUGGAAUAUUUGCCCUGGCGAGGAGCUUCCCGGAAACGAAAGUCUUCCGGUUCCGGGGGAAGUAUGGUUGCAAAGCUGAAACUUAAAGGAAUUGACGGAAGGGCACCACCAGGAGUGGAGCCUGCGGCUUAAUUUGACUCAACACGGGAAAACUCACCCGGCCCGGACACUAUAAGGAUUGACAGAUUGAUAGCUCUUUCAUGAUUUGGUGGAUGGUGGUGCAUGGCCGUUCUUAGUUCGUGGAGUGAUUUGUCUGGUUUAUUCCGAUAACGAGCGAGACUCUAGCCUACUAAAUAGUUCGCUCAUUGUUUAUUGUGUAGCGGUACUUCCUAGAGGAAUUUUCGG
Molecule: ribosomal RNA, 729 nt
Filed under: uncultured eukaryote
Lineage: Eukaryota
Description: SSU rRNA
Rfam family: Eukaryotic small subunit ribosomal RNA
Source: RNAcentral